CCUACGGGAGGCAGCAGUGGGGAAUAUUGCACAAUGGGGGAAACCCUGAUGCAGCGACGCCGCGUGAGUGAAGAAGUAUUUCGGUAUGUAAAGCUCUAUCAGCAGGAACGAGACAAGACGGUACCUGACUAAUAAGCCCCGGCUAACUACGUGCCAGCAGCCGCGGUACUACGUAGGGGGCAAGCGUUAUCCGGAAUCACUGGGUGUAAAGGGAGCGUAGACGGCUGUGCAAGCCUGAGGUGAAAGGCGGGGGCCCAACCCCUGGACUGCUUUGGGAACUGUACGGCUGGAGUGCAGGAGAGGUAAGUGGAAUUCCUAGUGUAGCGGUGAAAUGCGUAGAUAUUAGGAGGAACACCAGUGGCGAAGGCGGCUUACUGGACUGUAACUGACGUUGAGGCUCGAAAGCGUGGGGAGCAAACAGGAUUAGAUACCCUAGUAGUC
This 441-nucleotide ribosomal RNA is filed under the name uncultured bacterium. RNAcentral's name for it is "partial 16S ribosomal RNA". It matches the Rfam family "Bacterial small subunit ribosomal RNA", at positions 338 to 795 of the family's 1533-position model. The record is from RNAcentral.